GAAACUGCGAAUGGCUCAUUAAAUCAGUUAUCGUUUAUUUGAUAGUACCUUACUACAUGGAUACCUGUGGUAAUUCUAGAGCUAAUACAUGCUGAAAACCCCGACUUCGGAAGGGGUGUAUUUAUUAGAUAAAAAACCAAUGCCCUUCGGGGCUCCUUGGUGAAUCAUAAUAACUUAACGAAUCGCAUGGCCUUGCGCCGGCGAUGGUUCAUUCAAAUUUCUGCCCUAUCAACUUUCGAUGGUAGGAUAGUGGCCUACCAUGGUGGCAACGGGUAACGGGGAAUUAGGGUUCGAUUCCGGAGAGGGAGCCUGAGAAACGGCUACCACAUCCAAGGAAGGCAGCAGGCGCGCAAAUUACCCAAUCCCGAUACGGGGAGGUAGUGACAAUAAAUACUGAUACGGGGCUCUUUUGGGUCUCGUAAUUGGAAUGAGAACAAUUUAAAUCCCUUAACGAGGAACAAUUGGAGGGCAAGUCUGGUGCCAGCAGCCGCGGUAAUUCCAGCUCCAAUAGCGUAUAUUAAAGUUGUUGCAGUUAAAAAGCUCGUAGUUGAACCUUGGGUCUGGCUGGGCCGGUCCGCCUCAC
This 583-nucleotide ribosomal RNA is filed under the name uncultured fungus. RNAcentral describes it as "SSU rRNA". It matches the Rfam family "Eukaryotic small subunit ribosomal RNA", at positions 83 to 669 of the family's 1831-position model. The record is from RNAcentral. Lineage: Eukaryota; Fungi.